UAGGGAAUCUUCCGCAAUGGGCGAAAGCCUGACGGAGCAACGCCGCGUGAGUGAUGAAGGUCUUCGGAUCGUAAAACUCUGUUAUUAGGGAAGAACAAAUGUGUAAGUAACUAUGCACGUCUUGACGGUACCUAAUCAGAAAGCCACGGCUAACUACGUGACAGCAGCCGCGGUAAUACGUAGGUGGCAAGCGUUAUCCGGAAUUAUUGGGCGUAAAGCGCGCGUAGGCGGUUUUUUAAGUCUGAUGUGAAAGCCCACGGCUCAACCGUGUAGUGUCAUUGGACACUGGAAAACUUGAGUGCAGAAGAGGAAACUGGAAUUCCAUGUGUAGCGGUGAAAUGCGCAGAGAUAUGGAGGAACACCAGUGGCGAAGGCGACUUUCUGGUCUGUAACUGACUCUGAUGUGCGAAAGCGUGGGGAUCAAACAGG
RNAcentral lists this ribosomal RNA (429 nucleotides) under Actinomycetes bacterium. RNAcentral describes it as "Actinobacteria bacterium partial 16S ribosomal RNA". It matches the Rfam family "Bacterial small subunit ribosomal RNA", at positions 355 to 776 of the family's 1533-position model. Lineage: Bacteria; Bacillati; Actinomycetota; Actinomycetes. The record is from RNAcentral.